Molecule: non-coding RNA, 961 nt
Organism: Cricetulus griseus (Chinese hamster)
Lineage: Eukaryota; Metazoa; Chordata; Mammalia; Rodentia; Cricetidae
Source: RefSeq, a predicted model, not a curated record
CCUGCACCUCCAUCGGGAUUGACUGAGCAGGUCUCCUUGUCUACUGCCUGAAGGACACUCCAGUCAUUUCUCCUUUCCGGGCGGCCCCAGGGGCCUCCCAACAGCUUCCUCUGGGACAUUCAAAGGUUGCACAUUGCACUUAAGUAUUUGAAGUAUUUAUAGGCUGAUACAAUGGCCGGGGAAGCUUCGCGCCCAAGACAGCUCCUCCCGUCACCUACCACAGACUGUAAUUACAGUGCCUUGGUGACCUGGGCAGACUGAGGCCAAACCUGCCCCGGUUGCAUCGUUUCAUACAGGCCUGCCUGCCUGGCUGCUCCUGGGACGUGCCAAGACCACAGGUUCCUCCACUUGGAAUCGCUGGAGGAUCCCUUCCUCUCCGACACAGAAUCUGAGAGCUGAAGGGAAAAUAGAUAGAUGGUCCUGGGCUGAUCGUGGAGGAGGCCUACUUGGAGAACGGAGGAGAUGGGAUGAAGACAGAUGAUUGCUUUCUGAUAAUGAAAUGGCAGCUUUUCCCAAUCCUCAGAAACAUCUCCUGACAAGAAUUUGACCUUGGCUACAGCCUGGCCUCAGACCUCCAGCCUCUAGGCCUAGGAGAGAUAGAUGUUUGUCAUUUAAGCUGUACUGUCUACAUCAUUUUCCUAUAGUAGAUUCAACUAAGACCCCAGACCAAAGCAAAAGUUGAGUUUUAAAACUGCCCUUGGAGAGUGGAGAGGUGAGAUGGUACUCUCCACCCCCACCCAUUCUGUUUGCAGGGACUUUUUACCCGAGCUAGAGGGAAAUGCACAUAGCCUGUGUUAGCUCUAAGUCCUGCUCUCUGAAAUGAAAUCACAAGUGGUCCCUGACCCGGUGCACUCUGGCCUUGCCCAUCUGAAUGGCCUCCUAUGCUAGUGUCUUGUUUAUUUAAUUUAUUUAGUGUUUCAUGUGCUCUCUUUGAAAGGAAUAAAUGUUUUGAAGAACCAUA